ACGGCAACGUGUCUGCGUCAGUACUUUGUUACGUGCUCGUGCUUUGCUUGACCCGCGCACAAGCAAAUUCUGCUCGUGCCUCAAUUGCUUUUGUUGGUGUAGCACAGAAGUCCAAUGAGUUCAAGUUCAACCGGAAAAAGGGUUGAAGGGCGCGCGCUUCGGGCAGCAGAGGAGCCGCGCGAGCAAAACGUCACGUCUGCGCACGCCGCACGCCCGCCAGCAGGUCGCGCAAAUUCCAAAUACGCUCAUCGUGAGGAGGACGAGGACGAUGACGAUGACGAUGACGAUGACGCCCUCCACCGACAGAAGCGACAGCUGGGGAGGAAGAUGAGGCGGACGCAGAUGAAGACCUGGACGUUCCGGUGCAAGUGAAAAUGGAGUUCUCAUCUAUGAACCGCAUCAUCCGGAAGCUUCGGAGUUCCUCCCUCUGAUCCGGAAGAAGCUGCUGCAAGGUAAAGACCGAACGUCA
Phycodurus eques (leafy seadragon) is the source of this 469-nucleotide long non-coding RNA. RefSeq lists it as uncharacterized. The record is from RefSeq and is a predicted model, not a curated record. NCBI's taxonomy places the organism in Eukaryota, Metazoa, Chordata, Actinopteri, Syngnathiformes, Syngnathidae. The transcript has 3 exons.